Rhipicephalus sanguineus (brown dog tick) is the source of this 272-nucleotide long non-coding RNA. RefSeq lists it as uncharacterized. NCBI's taxonomy places the organism in Eukaryota, Metazoa, Arthropoda, Arachnida, Ixodida, Ixodidae. The transcript has 3 exons. The record is from RefSeq and is a predicted model, not a curated record.
GGCUGUCAUCGUGAUUCAGACGUGCAGGACGCGAAAUCGGCUGGCUGCGUCCAUCUUCGUCAUUCUCUCACUCGCCUCCUGCGCCAUAGCAGCGUGGCAAAUAUACGGCACUAACAUGACACCAUUCAUGGUCCUGGUGCAAGGGUCGUACAGCACCGUCGUAGAGACGAUGAACCACUACUACAUGCUUCCGUUCUACCACGGGGUGUGCUUCUUCUCUGGCUGCAUCACGUUCCUCGCCGUAGAGAAAUACGGCAAGGCCAGCAUUUCCA